CUAAGAGCCAUUAAAGAGCUCUGCUAUUGAAGGAAGAAAAAUAUCUUUAGUACAGAGGAAAUCCAUACACUGGGAUACAUUCAUCUAUUCAUCCCAUAAUUAGUGGUGCGUGCUUACUAAGCUGCACUCUCCACCCAUUGGCUUGUGCUGUGUAGCGCACUGGUUCCGGUUGGGUCAUUAAGAUUCGCGCCAGCCAAGAGAGUGUUUGUGGUGGAAAAAAAUCCACCAAAGGUGUGAGAUGGUGUCAAUCGAGUGCUUUAUUCAACACAAUGCAGAGACAACCCCAUUACAAUUCCAUCAAUAUGACCU
This is a long non-coding RNA of Myxocyprinus asiaticus (Chinese sucker), 309 nucleotides long. RefSeq lists it as uncharacterized. The record is from RefSeq and is a predicted model, not a curated record. Lineage: Eukaryota; Metazoa; Chordata; Actinopteri; Cypriniformes; Catostomidae. The transcript has 3 exons.